AUGUCAGUGGCAGGGUGACGUCACGAUGACGCGGGCGUGAUGUGGCUGAUUCAGACGUUUAGCAUCGCGGUUGAGUUCUCGUUGGAGAAUUUGCCUUCGGGUUAUUGUAAUUCUCUGGGGGACAAUCGAGCAGGUAAUCAGAUAAAACGCCACAGUUACGUUACUUUGGAGUUUCCUAGCCUGAAGAUGUCAGCCGUGCUUAUUUGAAGUUAUAGCUAACGUUAGCUCUUGAAAAUCCUUUAAAAAUAAAGCAAAGAAUAAACGAGGCGCCGUUUUUGGCAGCUGUGGUUAGUGGGGUUUAACCCUAACUACUCUACAAUAACGUGCUAUAUAAUUUAGUAUGAGAUGUGCUCACUGUCAGUGCUGUAGUGGUAAAAUUAGAGGUGGGUAAACUCUGAAUUUUGCGAUCAUACAGACCUCGACGCGAUGCGAAGCAACGCAACACAAAGCGGCUAUAUUGCAUUAUGUUAUCAGUAAAAGUCAUAUACAAUCAAUGACAAUGAAUAAAUGUGUUAGUAGUUUGAAGUUUAUUAAAUUUAAGAAAACAGUAAAGAAAAGUAUGUCAACACAACAACACAAUUGCAGAUUAAGAACUAUCUACAUAUGGAGUCUCCUCUUUACAGUAGUGCCCAGAGGGCCUCCUUGUCCUCCACGUCAGGUCCUGCCUUGCACAGAGGAGCCAUGAACAACAGCAAAAAGAAAACACCACACAGACAACUUGCUUGCCCCUAAAGAUGCAUUUGGUCGCUUAAUUGUGAUCAGUUCAAUAGUUCAACCAAAAGUAGAUUGUUGUUUUUACAUUUUAAACACUAUUGCUAAACCACUUGUACAUAAAAAUGAUCACAAUGCUCUUUGGUCCUUAUUUUUGAAGAUGGUUCCACAGUUAUGGAAAAUAGGAGAUGGACUUGUAGCUCUUGGGACUUGGGCUCAUGCCAGUCUGCACUGAUCAAUGAACCCUUGUCCAUUAAAUGAAGACAGCAGCUAAUUUCAGGUAUGGAUGGAUGAUUGCCUCUUCUGUAUCUGGCUUUCAAAGCCCUCUCGCUGGACCAAGGAGGAGGGCAGCUUGACCUGAGGAGUUCACAUAAGGUCUUCUACUUCAGAAGAAAAAAACAGAACAUUAGAGGGAAUGAGCCCAUGCAUGUAAACAGCACCUAACAGGACACCCUGACCGUAGCACUGUGAACCAAUGUUAUUACUAAAUACUACUUGAAUGAAUGGACAAUAUUGAGCGACAAUACAAAAGAGCUUUAAAAGAUUGUUGCAUGCACGGUAAUGUGGAAACAUUUAGUAUGCCUGAGACCGAUUGUGUAUUAAGAUGAAGAAUCAAAUUGAAUCAGCCACAUUCGACUCAUAUGAGCAUCAUGAUAAUCAUUCAAUAGGUCCGGAAAGUAACUUCCCCAGUUGUAAAAUCGAAUUGGGCGUUAAUUUGGGAGUUUUUCUGUUUAUAAAUUAGCUUUAUCUAAUCAAUUGUUCCUUUAUAAUUUGAUAUAUCCCAACAGACAACAAUUAUGUUUCAGACGUCAGAGCACAAUUCUGAUAAUAACUGUGAAUUCCUUUUUUAUUUAUUUGUUGGGGUUAUAACAAGUCAAAGUUGAAUAUAAUUGUGUUUAUUCUCAAGUAAACCUGCCAUGUGUAAUUCAUGUUUUUUUUUUUAACUGGACAGGACAGGAUACAGAACAUAACCAUAUUUUGUUUCUGACUAAUUUUCUAAAACAUAUGUUGAUGAGGUUUUUGUGUUCAUUUUAUAGAAGUUGCUAAGAGAAGGUGUUUCAAUGCUUCUUUUGUAUCACCAAGACUGACAUCUGGAGGAUAAAACAAAGAGCUGCAAGUGUUUCAGACUUCUUUUCUUUUUGGAAUUCUGAGGAAUUAGUUUUUUGGAAACACUAAUGAACCCCUUGCGUGUCCUUUGCGUGCCCUUUUCACACCAAAACCCAUUCAUUCUCUAUGGUUGUGCUAAACCACUGCGGGUGUAAUAUAUCUUUGGCCACCGGUGGCGCUGUUGUGCGGACCGAGCGUUUGCCCGGAUGUAAAGCGUUUCUCCGGUCAUUCUCCGUCAGUCUACCCGGGAUAGAGCACCGAAGCGACGGUGCACCUUCGUCGGACCUCGCGCUAUGAGGAAGUCACUAAACAGUAAGUCAAUGACAUUUAAUGUGUAAUAAUUAUUAAGAUAAAUAUGCAGCAUGACUAUAAAUAUAAUUUAUGUUGGUGUCACGCCACAUGUUAGUUUAUAGUUGUGUUCACGUGUGUUUGACUGCAUUAAUUACUAGUUGCAUAUCACAGAUGUUACUCAACUAAUAAAUGAGGAUCUUGUAAUAGAUUAAACCACCAGAAUUGUUUAAAGUCAGUCAAAUUUAAACACAUUAAUGCCUCAAUGAUUAGGAUAAUAUAUGAUAUAUUUGGCAUCACGACUAGUUUUAAUCUUACUUUAAAAAAAGUUAAUUUAACUUAAAGUUAAUUUAAGUCCCUGAAGCCCAUGUACUGGGGACUGGCACAGCGCUGCAGCGCUGCAGGCAUAGAAAAGGCACAAUAACAGUGGGUAGACAGGUAAAUUAUAUCAAUAUUUUUAACCAUCAUUGGUGACACAAACAGCUCAUAGUAACAACUUAGAUUACUUUUCAUUUUUUUCAGUUUCAUUAAAGAAAAGCCCUUUGCAUUCAAUUUUAUUUUGAUGACCAUAUCCACCGGUGCACACAUGGUGGUCUAUAUGACUGCUGUCACAUCGAUGGCUUUCCUUUUCUUUUUUCUUUCAGGGAUUGCUGUGUUGCACUUAAGGUGGCAGAGUCGUCUGCAGGAGAACAUCUGAAAUGGGAUUCUUGGAGAACAAGAGAUUGCCAAUGUCACGUCUGGCAACCAUCACAUUUUAAUGCAAACAUUAAUAUCAAGCUGGACUUGUUUCACUGCAUGAGGCGGUUCCUCCGUGAGUGUGUGUCGGUGGCAUCCCGCCCUGUACAGUUCCUUUGCUCAGUUCCUUUGCUCAGUUCCUCUGGACUGGGACAAGCACAACAGCAAGACAGAUCACACCCAGGCCCCGAAUCCACCUCCUCAAAGUGAUCCACUCGCUACACAGUCGGAGGUUCAAGGGUGUUCCAGUUUUCUCCAUACAUUUGUGUCACUUAUCCAUUUUUUUACAAGAUGUGAAAAUAUAUUUAGGGUGUUAUUAAAUAAACAUUCACAUACAAAUACCAGUCUUUCAUGAGCUUUUAAUGAAAGUUUAUAUUUAUUAGACAAGUAUUUGAUUCUCUAGGUCAGAAUGACUUAUAAUACUCUGUCUUUUGUUCCUGUAGAAACUCUACACAGCAAAAAUUGGAGUGUUGAAAUUUCAGGGUUAAAAAUUUCCGAGUUGAUUUUCACUCCCAGAGUGUAAUUUCAACACAUUCUGAUUUAAAUGGUGUUCAGUGUUGGAGUUAUUUGGCAGAGUUGAUCAUGUCAGUGUUAACCCAACUCCGCAGAGACGUAAUUAAGCUCCGCCCACGCCUUUCACCUCUUCGGUUAGAGACAGAGAAGACAAGUCUGCGCCAUUUUCUACCUCUCAUGCAGCACUACACGGUAAGUGCAAUUAAGUUAAACUUACUGAAACAAUUAAAAAUUGAUGCUGAGAAUUUCAGUAUGAACAAUUAAAUAUCCACAGAGAAUAUAUGCCUUACACAGCCGUGUUUGUUGCCAGGACUGAACAGUAAAUUUGUCCUCGUGGUUAGCUAGCUAGUUAGCAGUGUACGGUAAGCUAGCUAACAGUUUGUUACUAAAACUCUCCAACUUUAUCAAUAAUGAUUUAACAAUUCACAGGCAUGCUCAAAGCUAGGAAAUACAAAGCAUUAUGAUUUUUAACUGCAUAAAAUCUUGUUUGAGGCUGGAGCUGACGUUUUUUUUUUCACUUUGAAGAUCAAAGGGACCGCAAAAAACGUGUCCCAACAUGCAGACGGGUGUUUCACGUGUCUAGUUCACGUGUCUUGACAAUCAUGGGUAUGUUUGUUUCACAUUGUUUUUAUUUGUGCAUGACCAUUGCAUGAAUGUACUAAUUUAAUAUCUCCUCUCAGGCACUGCCCCACUAAAACAAUCAGAAGUUUAUGCACGUGGGAUAGUGACGCUGUUCCCUUCCCUUAAGGAUCCAUACUCCAAGAAGGGCUAUGUAAUAGGCAUUAUUAUUGUUUAAACUUCCAUGUCUUGUUGUGACCCAAAACUGUGUGGAUGACAUUGAUAUUUGAAUUCCGUGAGAUUUCUCAUGAGCCUGGUAUUACAACACAUUUCUUUUUUUCAUUUCAGGAACACUUCUAUGAUGCUGCAAGCAGCACAGGGUACAUUUCUUGGCGUCUGAAAACAGUCCAGAGGAAGAUUCUGCACAGCCACCAAAUAGCCCAAUUGACUUUUCUCCAGGAGGCCCAAAUUGGCAAAGGACUGUUAAUGUUGAAGGGCAGCUUGAUGGUGAUGCUUGCCAAGAGGCCAUGUCUUUGCUUAACCAUACAGCAGACAAUUCCCUGAUUUUCCAGAAGAUGAGAGAAACCUUUCAGCAUCGUCAGAAGUUUGUUUGACUAAUAGAUGGAUGACUGUUUAAAACUUUGUCAUAAUGCCUCCCUGUUCUCAUUCAAACUUAACGUGUUACAUUUGAAAAGUUUUUAGUUAACUCUUGUGACUGUUUGUCCUCAGCCUACGACCAAGAAAUGGCCUCCCUGUUGUUGCUGUUACAUCUCCUUCCACCACCUCCAGGGGGACUGAAGUCUCCAAAAAAUAGUGCAUGUGAUGCAGUUGAAAGACUUGUUGUAUUUCAUAAGUCAUGCUGCAGUUUGGAGGAGCAUCUCCGCAACCAGCAGGGUCGGCAGCCGUACCUCCUCGCUGUUGGGCGUCAGAAGAGCAAGAUUGACAGCUUCUACAUCACCAUGGAUAAGCGUCUCAUCCCAUGCAAGGCAAACCGCUCCCUCGGGGCAUGUGAUGAACUUUUCAAAGCACAUUUUGUGUUUAAUUUGUCUUACGAUGUGGCACUUGUGAAUUUUUAUACAUUCCUGCAGACAACAGUGUAUAACAUUGAUGUGGGGAAAAUGAAGGAGUCACCCAGAGUUAAAGACUUGAGAGCAAGACUGCUUAACCAGCCAGUAGCAUUCUCACCCUGUGAGUAAGAAGCUAUAACAAUGCUGACCUGUUUCAUGUGUUGACAAACAAGCUAUUUACAGAGAAUUUUCAUGACCAUCAUCAUGCAUUCAGAGUAUUACGAAGUGCGGAAAGAUGUUUACUAAAAAUGUCUGCGCUUAAAUUUCAUAAACCGUUUCAUAUUCAAAGCUCAUAUAAUGUUUUGGAUGAAAGUUUGUACAUUAUACCUUCAUUCACAAUGUUUUAAUUCAACUGACUGCAAGGGAGAAAAGGAAUAAAUGUUUUUGAAAAUGUUUUUUAUUGUGAUGAAUUCUUAUUAAUAUAAGUAUAUAUUUAAUUAAUACAUUUAAAAUGAAUUAACAUUUUUUCAGUGUAGAUAAUUGACACAUUAGGGAGUGUAAUUAACACUACCAAAAUAGUUAAAAAAAUUAACUCGGAGCAGUGUUAGUUGUCUAAUCCCUCAGUGUUACUUUAACACUGUUUUGUGAGUUAAUAAAGGAACUCUGGUAGAGUGUUAAAUGUUUAACUAUUUUGAAAGUGUUAAUUUAACUCUGGAGAGUGUGGAGCUAUAUAAACUCUCAAAAAGUGUUGAAAUCAACUCUGUGGGAGUUAAUUCAACACUGGACAUUUUGCUGUGUACGUCCGCCGUCGCUGGCAGUUAUCGACCUGCUGCUCAACAAACACCGUGAGCAGAAGGACAUGCUGAAGCUUGUGGACCAGGACUACGCUGCUCUAGUUCACAACUCCUGCACAGACCCCAACAGCAUGCUCCACCCGACAACAAAACUACAUGUUCUACAAUAUGUAAAGCACCUCAGCAAAUUGUUGAACACCAGUUCCUCUUUAAACGUCAGUCCAGAAAAACUGCAAGAGAGGCAGAAACUCUGUCACUCUCUGACAGAGGCGAGUGAGACUACUAGUGUGCAGGUUGUUACGAUGUCUGUUGUAAUUGUUCACCCACCUCCACCUGUUCAGAUGCUGACACAAGCUUCUGUUGAGAAGAUUGUACCCAACAUCAUGGAAAAGCAGCAGCAACAUAAACAGGAACAACAACAACAACCGGGGCAAAAGAAGGGCCGCACGAAAGACAAAAGUUCUUUCAGCUAGAACUGGAUGCCACACAGAAAAGUUCCAUCUGGCAUUUUAAGUGCAAUUAUUUGUAAUAUUCAUGUUGUAAUUAGUUUAUAUAUUGGUUUCUUGCAUUUGUGACUUUGUACAUUGAAAUAUUAUCAUUUUAUUAUUUAUAUUUGGUUUUAAUAUUCAUUAGUUUAAUUAUUUAAAUGUCUUUAUUUCUGUAACAUGUUUGUUUGUAUAGGACUAUACAAAUCGGUUGAUGUAUCUGUGUUCAACAUUUACUGUCCAAGUUAAUAAAUAUAUUUCAAUU
Long non-coding RNA from Gasterosteus aculeatus aculeatus (three-spined stickleback), 6463 nucleotides. NCBI's taxonomy places the organism in Eukaryota, Metazoa, Chordata, Actinopteri, Perciformes, Gasterosteidae. The record is from Ensembl.